RNAcentral lists this ribosomal RNA (484 nucleotides) under uncultured bacterium. Its description in RNAcentral is "partial 16S ribosomal RNA". It matches the Rfam family "Bacterial small subunit ribosomal RNA", at positions 30 to 507 of the family's 1533-position model. The record is from RNAcentral.
AUUGAACGCUGGCGGCAGGCCUAACACAUGCAAGUCGAGCGGAUGAAGGGAGCUUGCUCCUGGAUUCAGCGGCGGACGGGUGAGUAAUGCCUAGGAAUCUGCCUGGUAGUGGGGGAUAACGUCCGGAAACGGGCGCUAAUACCGCAUACGUCCUGAGGGAGAAAGUGGGGGAUCUUCGGACCUCACGCUAUCAGAUGAGCCUAGGUCGGAUUAGCUAGUUGGUGGGGUAAAGGCCUACCAAGGCGACGAUCCGUAACUGGUCUGAGAGGAUGAUCAGUCACACUGGAACUGAGACACGGUCCAGACUCCUACGGGAGGCAGCAGUGGGGAAUAUAGGACAAUGGGCGAAAGCCUGAUCCAGCCAUGCCGCGUGUGUGAAGAAGGUCUUCGGAUUGUAAAGCACUUUAAGUUGGGAGGAAGGGCAGUAAGUUAAUACCUUGCUGUUUUGACGUUACCUACAGAAUAAGCACCGGCUAACUUCGUG